Molecule: ribosomal RNA, 452 nt
Filed under: uncultured bacterium
Lineage: Bacteria
Description: bacterial SSU rRNA
Rfam family: Bacterial small subunit ribosomal RNA
Source: RNAcentral
UACGGGAGGCAGCAGUGGGGAAUAUUGCACAAUGGGCGCAAGCCUGAUGCAGCCAUGCCGCGUGUAUGAAGAAGGCCUUCGGGUUGUAAAGUACCUUCAGUCGUGAGGAAGGUGUUAAGGUUAAUAACCUUAGCAAUUGACGUUAGCGACAGAAGAAGCACCGGCUAACUCCGUGCCAGCAGCCGCGGUAAUACGGAGGGUGCGAGCGUUAAUCGGAAUUACUGGGCGUAAAGGGCACGCAGGCGGUUAAUUAAGUUGGAUGUGAAAUCCCCGGGCUUAACCUGGGAAUGGCAUUCAAGACUGGUUAGCUAGAGUCUUGUAGAGGGGGUAGAAUUCCAUGUGUAGCGGUGAAAUGCGUAGAGAUGUGGAGGAAUACCGGUGGCGAAGGCGGCCCCUGGGACAAAGACUGACGCUCAUGUGCGAAAGCGUGGGGAGCGAAACAGGGAUUAGAU